CCUACGGGAGGCUGCAGUGGGGAAUAUUGCACAAUGGGGGAAACCCUGAUGCAGCGACGCCGCGUGAGUGAAGAAGUAUUUCGGUAUGUAAAGCUCUAUCAGCAGGGAAGAAAUAAAGUCCUUUGGACUUUGGACGGUACCUGACUAAGAAGCCCCGGCUAACUACGUGCCAGCAGCCGCGGUAAUACGUAGGGGGCAAGCGUUAUCCGGAUUUACUGGGUGUAAAGGGAACGCAGGCGGUCUUUUAAGUCUGAUGUGAAAGCCUUCGGCUUAACCGGAGUAGUGCAUUGGAAACUGGGAGACUUGAGUGCAGAAGAGGAGAGUGGAACUCCAUGUUUAGCGGUGAAAUGCGUAGAGAUCGGGAGGAACACCAGUGGCGAAGGCGGCCUGCUGGGCUUUAACUGACGCUCAGGCACGAAAGCAUGGGUAGCAAACAGGAUUAGAUACCCUUGUAGUC
This 457-nucleotide ribosomal RNA is filed under the name uncultured bacterium. RNAcentral's name for it is "partial 16S ribosomal RNA". It matches the Rfam family "Bacterial small subunit ribosomal RNA", at positions 338 to 795 of the family's 1533-position model. The record is from RNAcentral.